ACUUCGAUGUCUGACUUCGCGUGUUCAGACCAAACUGACUAUACGCCGCCGAAUGUGAGCAGGCUCACUGUGAGCCCCAGUGUGAACGUGAGUGAGCGAGAAAAUAUACGGUAUCGAAUGUCCGCGCCCAUGCCUAUUGUAAUGGCGUAUUGUCGGUUAGGUGUGAACGAAAAAGUGAAUUGGUAUGGAAAUACAAUAAACUGAGUAACGUUGGCUCACAUUCGGCGGCUCACAGUCGGUUUGGUGUGAACACGGCUUU
Long non-coding RNA from Aricia agestis (brown argus), 259 nucleotides. RefSeq lists it as uncharacterized. The record is from RefSeq and is a predicted model, not a curated record. NCBI's taxonomy places the organism in Eukaryota, Metazoa, Arthropoda, Insecta, Lepidoptera, Lycaenidae. The transcript is spliced from 3 exons.